AAUUUGUACAAUUGUCUUUAUUUAGACAAUUCUCAUUUCUUAUUAAGAGAGCUGAGAACAGAAAUAAGAGACAAUGUCUAAUAGAAAUUUAGAAAGCAGAAACAGAAACUGAGAGUCCUACCCUUAUCUAUAAGAGAAAUCGUUUCCAAUGGGUUUUCUUUCUCUUAUCCUAUACCCAGUGUUUCUCAGCUGAAAAGAAAUCUUGGUCUCUUCCUUGUGUGAUCCAAAGCCCGUUUAUCAGCUACAAUUCUAGCAUUAGCACCAGGAGAUUGGAGGAGACGCAGAUAACCUUUUAAAGACUGAUACGGAGUUAAAUGCAAUCACUCUCAUCCUUUAAAAACAAGUAAAGGCGUGAAACAAAACAUUAUAAAAUUAUUUGCUUCCUCCUGCACAUAACUUAAAAGUUACCAGCUAACCGCCAGCAUACCACUGACCUUUGGCUUGGAACCAAGGGCUUUAGGGAAAAACUAAAGGUAGACAUAUUUUUAGAACUCAAUAUGAUUAAUUUACAAAAGCCUGAUUUUUUUUUUCCUGAAGACUGAUAAAAUAUGUUCCAAUUUCAAGGACUGAAGGAUAAAACCACAUCUCAGAAUAAUUAAGCUGUUAGUCUUGAUUACAAAUGGAAUGAAGCAAUACUCAUUUCUUGGACUGACUGAGGUGGUAAAUGGCUCUCUUUCUGCUUGUGGAACAAGUGAUGGAAUCACCAAAUUAUAAUUUACAGUUAUAGGUUCCAGAGUUCAUUGUAGCCAACUUCUCUCUUCCAAAUGAGAGAAAGAAAUCCCCCCAAAUUAGUCCUGAUCACACAGGUAAUGUCUGUAUAAACUGAUCCCAGCAU
RNAcentral lists this long non-coding RNA (835 nucleotides) under Bos taurus (domestic cattle). RNAcentral's name for it is "long non-coding RNA NONBTAT016899". The record is from RNAcentral. Lineage: Eukaryota; Metazoa; Chordata; Mammalia; Artiodactyla; Bovidae.